UUUGACGUUAGCAGCAGAAGAAGCACCGGCUAACUCCGUGCCAGCAGCCGCGGUAAUACGGAGGGUGCGAGCGUUAAUCGGAAUUACUGGGCGUAAAGCGCAUGCAGGCGGUCUGUUAAGCAAGAUGUGAAAGCCCCGGGCUCAACCUGGGAAAGUCAUUUUGAACUGGCAGGCUAGAGUCUUGUAGAGGGGGGUAGAAUUUCAGGUGUAGCGGUGAAAUGCGUAGAGAUCUGAAGGAAUACCGGUGGCGAAGGCGGCCCCCUGGACAAAGACUGACGCUCAGAUGCGAAAGCGUGGGGAGCAAACAGGAUUAGAUACCCUGGUAGUCCACGCCGUAAACGAUGUCUACUUGGAGGCUGUGACCCAGAGUCGUGGCUUUCGGAGCUAACGCGUUAAGUAGACCGCCUGGGGAGUACGGUCGCAAGAUUAAAACUCAAAUGAAUUGACGGGGGCCCGCACAAGCGGUGGAGCAUGUGGUUUAAUUCGAUGCAACGCGAAGAACCUUACCUACUCUUGACAUCCAGAGAAGCUUGAAGAGAUUCGAGUGUGCCUUCGGGAGCUCUGAGACAGGUGCUGCAUGGCUGUCGUCAGCUCGUGUUGUGAAAUGUUGGGUUAAGUCCCGCAACGAGCGCAACCCUUAUCCUUGUUUGCCAGCACGUCAUGGUGGGAACUCCAGGGAGACUGCCGGUGAUAAACCGGAGGAAGGUGGGGACGACGUCAAGUCAUCAUGGCCCUUACGAGUAGGGCUACACACGUGCUACAAUGGCAUAUACAGAGGGCAGCAAGACCGCGAGGUGGAGCGAAUCCCAGAAAGUAUGUCGUAGUCCGGAUUGGAGUCUGCAACUCGACUCCAUGAAGUCGGAAUCGCUAGUAAUCGUGGAUCAGAAUGCCACGGUGAAUACGUUCCCGGGCCUUGUACACACCGCCCGUCACACCAUGGGAGUGGGCUGCACCAGAAGUAGAUAGCUUAACCUUCGGGAGGGCGUUUACCACGGUGUGGUUCAUGACUGGGGUGAAGUCGUAACAAGGUAGCCCUAGGGGAACCUGGGGCUGGAUCACCUCCUUA
Molecule: non-coding RNA, 1066 nt
Filed under: Veronia pacifica
Lineage: Bacteria; Pseudomonadati; Pseudomonadota; Gammaproteobacteria; Vibrionales; Vibrionaceae
Description: Enterovibrio sp. sw014 Bacterial small subunit ribosomal RNA
Rfam family: Bacterial small subunit ribosomal RNA
Source: Rfam by way of RNAcentral